This 1343-nucleotide ribosomal RNA is filed under the name uncultured bacterium. Its description in RNAcentral is "16S ribosomal RNA". It matches the Rfam family "Bacterial small subunit ribosomal RNA", at positions 28 to 1378 of the family's 1533-position model. The record is from RNAcentral.
GACGAACGCUGGCGGCGUGCUUAACACAUGCAAGUCGAACGGAAAGGCCCUGCUUUUGUGGGGUGCUCGAGUGGCGAACGGGUGAGUAACACGUGAGUAACCUGCCCUUGACUUUGGGAUAACUUCAGGAAACUGGGGCUAAUACCGGAUAGGGGCUCCUGCUGCAUGGUGGGGGUUGGAAAGUUUCGGCGGUUGGGGAUGGACUCGCGGCUUAUCAGCUUGUUGGUGGGGUAGUGGCUUACCAAGGCUUUGACGGGUAGCCGGCCUGAGAGGGUGACCGGCCACAUUGGGACUGAGAUACGGCCCAGACUCCUACGGGAGGCAGCAGUGGGGAAUAUUGCACAAUGGGCGGAAGCCUGAUGCAGCAACGCCGCGUGCGGGAUGACGGCCUUCGGGUUGUAAACCGCUUUCGCCUGUGACGAAGCGUGAGUGACGGUAAUGGGUAAAGAAGCACCGGCUAACUACGUGCCAGCAGCCGCGGUGAUACGUAGGGUGCGAGCGUUGUCCGGAUUUAUUGGGCGUAAAGGGCUCGUAGGUGGUUGAUCGCGUCGGAAGUGUAAUCUUGGGGCUUAACCCUGAGCGUGCUUUCGAUACGGGUUGACUUGAGGAAGGUAGGGGAGAAUGGAAUUCCUGGUGGAGCGGUGGAAUGCGCAGAUAUCAGGAGGAACACCAGUGGCGAAGGCGGUUCUCUGGGCCUUUCCUGACGCUGAGGAGCGAAAGCGUGGGGAGCGAACAGGCUUAGAUACCCUGGUAGUCCACGCUGUAAACGGUGGGUACUAGGUGUGGGGUCCAUUCCACGGGUUCCGUGCCGUAGCUAACGCUUUAAGUACCCCGCCUGGGGAGUACGGCCGCAAGGCUAAAACUCAAAGGAAUUGACGGGGCCCCGCACAAGCGGCGGAGCAUGCGGAUUAAUUCGAUGCAACGCGUAGAACCUUACCUGGGUUUGACAUGGAUCGGGAGUGCUCAGAGAUGGGUGUGCCUCUUUUGGGGUCGGUUCACAGGUGGUGCAUGGCUGUCGUCAGCUCGUGUCGUGAGAUGUUGGGUUAAGUCCCGCAACGAGCGCAACCCUUGUUCACUGUUGCCAGCACGUUAUGGUGGGGACUCAGUGGAGACCGCCGGGGUCAACUCGGAGGAAGGUGGGGAUGACGUCAAGUCAUCAUGCCCCUUAUGUCCAGGGCUUCACGCAUGCUACAAUGGCUGGUACAGAGAGUGGCGAGCCUGUGAGGGUGAGCGAAUCUCGGAAAGCCGGUCUCAGUUCGGAUUGGGGUCUGCAACUCGACCUCAUGAAGUCGGAGUCGCUAGUAAUCGCAGAUCAGCAACGCUGCGGUGAAUACGUUCCCGGG